GAUGAACGCUGACAGAAUGCUUAACACAUGCAAGUCCACUUGAACUUCGGUUUGGGUGGCGGACGGGUGAGUAACGCGUACAGAACUUGCCUCACAGCUAGGGACAACAUUUGGAAACGAAUGCUAAUACCUGAUAUUAUGAUUAUAUGGCAUCGUAUAAUUAUGAAAGCUAUAUGCGCUGUGAGAGAGCUUUGCGUCCCAUUAGCUAGUUGGAGAGGUAACAGCUCACCAAGGCGAUGAUGGGUAGCCGGCCUGAGAGGGUGAUCGGCCACAAGGGGACUGAGACACGGCCCCUACUCCUACGGGAGGCAGCAGUGGGGAAUAUUGGACAAUGGACCGAGAGUCUGAUCCAGCAAUUCUGUGUGCACGAUGAAGUUUUUCGGAAUGUAAAGUGCUUUCAGUUGGGAAGAAAAAAAUGACGGUACCAACAGAAGAAGUGACGGCUAAAUACGUG
Molecule: ribosomal RNA, 454 nt
Filed under: uncultured bacterium
Lineage: Bacteria
Description: partial 16S ribosomal RNA
Rfam family: Bacterial small subunit ribosomal RNA
Source: RNAcentral